UUUCCGGUUGAUCCUGCCGCCGGCCACCGCUAUCAAGUUCCGACUAAGCCAUGCGAGUCAAGGUAUCGUAAGAUGCCGGCAAACUGCUCAGUAACACGUGGAUAAUCUAACCUUGAGUAAGGGAUAACCUCGGGAAACUGAGGAUAAUACCUUAUAAUUGCUUAAAACUGGAAUGUUUAAGCAAUAAAAGUUCCGACGCUCAAGGAUGAGUCUGCGACCUAUCAGGUAGUAGGUGGUGUAAUGGACCACCUAGCCUCAGACGGGUACGGGCCCUGGGAGGGGUAGCCCGGAGAUGGACUCUGAGACAUCAGUCCAGGCCCUACGGGGCGCAGCAGGCGCGAACACUGUGCAAUGCGCGAAAGCGCGACACGGGGAGCUUGAGUGUCUUGGCAUAGCCAAGACUUUUCUCAUUCCUAAAAAGCAUGAGGAAUAAGUGCUGGGUAAGGCGGGUGCCAGCCGCCGCGGUAACACCCGCAGCACAAGUGGUGGUCACUUUUAUUGAGCCUAAAGCGUUCGUAGCCGGUUUUGUAAAUCUUUAGAUAAAGCCUGAAGCUUAACUCCAGAAAGUCUGAAGAGACUGCAAGACUUGAGAUCGGGUGAGGUUAAACGUACUUUCAGGGUAGGGGUAAAAUCCUGUAAUCCCGGAAGGACGACCAGUGGCGAAAGCGUUUAACUAGAACGAAUCUGACGGUAAGGAACGAAGGCUAGGGUAGCAAACCGGAUUAGAUACCCGGGUAGUCCUAGUUGUAAACACUGCCCAUUUGAUGUUGCUUUUCCGUUGAGGGAAGGCAGUGUCGGAGCGAAGGUGUUAAAUGGGCCGCUUGGGAAGUAUGGUCGCAAGACUGAAACUUAAAGGAAUUGGCGGGGGAGCACCGCAACGGGAGGAAUGUGCGGUUUAAUUGGAUUCAACGCCGGA
RNAcentral lists this ribosomal RNA (916 nucleotides) under uncultured archaeon. Its description in RNAcentral is "bacterial SSU rRNA". It matches the Rfam family "Archaeal small subunit ribosomal RNA", at positions 1 to 922 of the family's 1478-position model. The record is from RNAcentral.